Molecule: ribosomal RNA, 448 nt
Filed under: uncultured bacterium
Lineage: Bacteria
Description: bacterial SSU rRNA
Rfam family: Bacterial small subunit ribosomal RNA
Source: RNAcentral
CCCAGACUCCUACGGGAGGCAGCAGUGGGGAAUAUUGCACAAUGGGGGAAACCCUGAUGCAGCGACGCCGCGUGAGUGAAGAAGUAUUUCGGUAUGUAAAGCUCUAUCAGCAGGGAAGAAAAAAGACGGUACCUGACUAAGAAGCCCCGGCUAACUACGUGCCAGCAGCCGCGGUAAUACGUAGGGGGCAAGCGUUAUCCGGAAUUACUGGGUGUAAAGGGUGCGUAGGUGGCAUGGUAAGUCAGAAGUGAAAGCCCGGGGCUUAACCCCGGGACUGCUUUUGAAACUGUCAUGCUGGAGUGCAGGAGAGGUAAGCGGAAUUCCUAGUGUAGCGGUGAAAUGCGUAGAUAUUAGGAGGAACACCAGUGGCGAAGGCGGCUUACUGGACUGUCACUGACACUGAUGCACGAAAGCGUGGGGAGCAAACAGGAUUAGAUACCCGCGUAAU